Non-coding RNA from Peromyscus maniculatus bairdii (prairie deer mouse), 269 nucleotides. The record is from RefSeq and is a predicted model, not a curated record. NCBI's taxonomy places the organism in Eukaryota, Metazoa, Chordata, Mammalia, Rodentia, Cricetidae.
GGUUGCUACUGGUCCACCCUCAGGUCUAGGAGCAGAGGACACAUGUUGACAACAUGUUGAACUUAGACUCCUGAGCCAUCUCUCAAGAUGACAUCGCCAAAUACAGCCGUCCAAAUCACAUCCUCUCAUGGAUUCAAAAACACAGAGUUCCUGUGGGGAAAUUCCUCCUAAGAACAGUCCAGAAAAGGAUGCCCACACAUCUAAGUGGUGACAGAAGUCACUGGGGACAGGGGAGCAGUGCCGUUAUGAAUGGACCCAAACAAUACAUC